RNAcentral lists this long non-coding RNA (210 nucleotides) under Mytilus galloprovincialis (Mediterranean mussel). The record is from RNAcentral. Lineage: Eukaryota; Metazoa; Mollusca; Bivalvia; Mytilida; Mytilidae.
GUGUUAUAAUAAUUUAUUUGGUUACAUACAACUUAUUAUACAUAUAACAAACAUUACUUGUUAAAUGAUACGACGAGUCACAUUAUAAGGUAUACAAAGGCGAAUGACUCCUGGUCCACACCCAAUACACUGUACAUCAAUGUUAUGUUAAAUACAUUAGUUUGUCAAGAUAUAAUAUCUUUUCUGAGGUGUUUAGCUCACUUGUAUUCC